UCUGGCCACACAUCCCUGAAUGUGCCUGAUCUCGGAAGCUAAGCAGGGUUGCGCCUGGUUAAUACUUGGAUGGGAGACUUAACUAAGUGUGGCCAAAG
Molecule: ribosomal RNA, 98 nt
Organism: Cricetulus griseus (Chinese hamster)
Lineage: Eukaryota; Metazoa; Chordata; Mammalia; Rodentia; Cricetidae
Source: Ensembl